This 459-nucleotide ribosomal RNA is filed under the name uncultured bacterium. RNAcentral's name for it is "partial 16S ribosomal RNA". It matches the Rfam family "Bacterial small subunit ribosomal RNA", at positions 338 to 795 of the family's 1533-position model. The record is from RNAcentral.
CCUACGGGAGGCAGCAGUGAGGAAUAUUGGUCAAUGGCCGAGAGGCUGAACCAGCCAAGUCGCGUGAGGGAAGACGGCCCUACGGGUUGUAAACCUCUUUUGUCGGGGAGCAAAGCGAACCACUUGUGGUUCAUUGAGAGUACCCUAAGAAAAAGCAUCGGCUCACUCCCUUCCAGCAGCCGCGGUAAUACGGGGGAUGCGAGCGUUAUCUGGAUUUAUUGGGUUUAAAGGGUGGGCAGGCGGAGGUGCAAGUCAGCGGUCAAAUUGCGGGGCUCAACCCCGUACUGCCGUUGAAACUGCAUCCCUUGAGUGCGCGAGAGGGAUGCGGAAUGCGUGGUGUAGCGGUGAAAUGCAUAGAGAUCACGAAGAACACCGAUGGCGAAGGCAGCAUACCGGCGCGCAACUGACGCUCAUGCACGAAAGCGUGGGUAUCGAACAGGAUUAGAUACCCCUGUAGUC